Molecule: ribosomal RNA, 479 nt
Filed under: uncultured bacterium
Lineage: Bacteria
Description: partial 16S ribosomal RNA
Rfam family: Bacterial small subunit ribosomal RNA
Source: RNAcentral
GAUGAACGCUGGCGGCGUGCUUAACACAUGCAAGUCGAACGAAGCACCUUGAUUCGAUUCUUCGGAUGAAGAUCUUGGUGACUGAGUGGCGGACGGGUGAGUAACGCGUGGGUAACCUGCCUCAUACAGGGGGAUAACAGUUAGAAAUGACUGCUAAUACCGCAUAAGACCACAGCACCGCAUGGUGCAGGGGUAAAAACUCCGGUGGUAUGAGAUGGACCCGCGUCUGAUUAGGUAGUUGGUGGGGUAACGGCCUACCAAGCCGACGAUCAGUAGCCGACCUGAGAGGGUGACCGGCCACAUUGGGACUGAGACACGGCCCAAACUCCUACGGGAGGCAGCAGUGGGGAAUAUUGCACAAUGGGGGAAACCCUGAUGCAGCGACGCCGCGUGAGCGAUGAAGUAUUUCGGUAUGUAAAGCUCUAUCAGCAGGGAAGAAAAUGACGGUACCUGACUAAGAAGCACCGGCUAAAUACGUG